This 451-nucleotide ribosomal RNA is filed under the name uncultured bacterium. RNAcentral describes it as "partial 16S ribosomal RNA". It matches the Rfam family "Bacterial small subunit ribosomal RNA", at positions 355 to 798 of the family's 1533-position model. The record is from RNAcentral.
UAGGGAAUCUUCCACAAUGGACGCAAGUCUGAUGGAGCAACGCCGCGUGAGUGAAGAAGGUUUUCGGACCGUAAAGCUCUGUUGUUGGUGAAGAAGGAUAGAGGUAGUAACUGGCCUUUAUUUGACGGUAAUCAACCAGAAAGUCACGGCUAACUACGUGCCAGCAGCCGCGGUAAUACGUAGGUGGCAAGCGUUGUCCGGAUUUAUUGGGCGUAAAGCGAGCGCAGGCGGAAGAAUAAGUCUGAUGUGAAAGCCCUCGGCUUAACCGAGGAAUUGCAUCGGAAACUGUUUUCUUGAGUGCAGAAGAGGAGAGUAGAACUCCAUGUGUAGCGGUGGAAUGCGUAGAUAUAUGGAAGAAUACCAGUGGCGAAGGCGGCUCUCUGGUCUGCAACUGACGCUGAGGCUCGAAAGCAUGGGUAGCGAACAGGAUUAGAUACCCCUGGUAGUCCAU